Long non-coding RNA from Neoarius graeffei (lesser salmon catfish), 1431 nucleotides. RefSeq lists it as uncharacterized. NCBI's taxonomy places the organism in Eukaryota, Metazoa, Chordata, Actinopteri, Siluriformes, Ariidae. The transcript has 3 exons. The record is from RefSeq and is a predicted model, not a curated record.
UCGUUGAAUAGCCAGUGAUUUUUGGAUGUUUGAUAUUUUUGAUUAAGGAUAUGAGGCACUAGCCUGGCAAGCCAGACUAUAACAUGAAAUGUACAAGCAAAAAUACUUUCUGCCACUAGGUAGGGUUGUCUAGUUCACUAUGCUAAUGGGGCACACCUUUCUAUGCUUUGAUAUCCGGCCUACAGGUUUUACGAUGAAUGCGUAAAAUGGGCAUCCCCUGUUUUAAAAACCAGCAGCCGCCACUGCCACAGAUGCAACACUUCACUCUUUCCCCAGACCUGCAUCUUCAUGUUUCCUUCCACAUCCAGCACAUUGCUGUUUACCAGGAGACAGUGGGGCUCGUCCACAGGGGCAGGUGGAGCACAAACCUGAUUCACAGCUCCACACAUUUUACUGUCACCAAUGAUUUUUUUUUUUAUGUUAUUUGACAUGUCAAAAAAAAUUAACUCACUCUGUUGCUGGUGUUAUAGAAUCCUCUUUUGUUGGAUUAACCAAACAAAGUCGCUUUUUAAGGUGUAAUUAAGUCAGUUGGUUUAUUUCAAUUAUGAUUAAGACUUCUUUAUAUUAACUCAACAACAUGCCAUUAAAUCAAUACAACCUUUCUAAAUAAAACACAUAUUACAUUCAGCGUUAACAAUGUUUGUCCUUCUGUUGAUGCCCUACCUCCUUGAGUUCCUUCAGAGAAAUUUGCUGCUCAAUGAUGCUCCGCCAUUUUGCCUUACUUCGCUCACCGAACGUCUGAGAUCCAGAGUAUUUAAGACUUUCAUGUGGCUGUGCAAAGAGUGUAAGACAGCAGUGUCUUCGAGGUCUCUCUUGUUAAAGCAUUACAGAGUAAGAGUUGGAGUGGACCUAAAAUGACAGACUGUGUAAAGCUUUGAAUUAUCCUUGGAGAAAACAACUCUGAAAAAUUGAUCUUGCCGUCUGGAAUACCAGAGUCUGUUGACGACCUUAAACUUGAGAUUGAAAGACAGUCAGUACGUUUACAUGCACAUCCAAAUUGAGCUGCUGUCAGUAAUCGAGCUAAGGGUCCCAGCAGGGGUGCCAGAGAAAUCCAAUCCUACAUGCACACAAGGGAAUCGAGCUAUUGUGUGAGGUGCAUUGUGCACCCGAGCCACAGGUGGCGCUACAUGCCCCAUCGUGUUGGUACACUUCCGGUUGUCGUCAUGAAGAAGAGCUAUUCAAGAGUAUAAACAAAGUUAUCAGUUCCGUGUUCACAAGAAAUUUUACUGGUCUAAAUCACUACAAAUUGCUCUAAUGACAGAUUUGAUGACAUUUCCUGUACAUUUUAUUUAUCUUUUUAUUACAUCCACCUGCCAAGGGACUACAGGCAGAAAUUAGCAUGUACUGCUAUAACCUGGUACUGACAUCUGUCCUUACCACAAGAAUAAUGUUUAAUUUGUACACUGUCCCUUUUAAAAAAUAAAAUAAACU